Molecule: ribosomal RNA, 253 nt
Filed under: uncultured bacterium
Lineage: Bacteria
Description: partial 16S ribosomal RNA
Rfam family: Bacterial small subunit ribosomal RNA
Source: RNAcentral
UACGUAGGGGGCAAGCGUUGUCCGGAAUUAUUGGGCGUAAAGAGCGCGUAGGCGGUCCGGUAAGUCGGUUGUGAAAGUCGGGGGCUCAACCCUCGGAUGCCGAUCGAUACUGUCGGGCUAGAGUCCGGAAGAGGCGAGUGGAAUUCCUGGUGUAGCGGUGAAAUGCGCAGAUAUCGGGAGGAACACCAAUGGCGAAGGCAGCUCGCUGGGACGGUACUGACGCUGAGACGCGAAAGCGUGGGGAGCAAACAGG